CACGGUGGUCUAGCGGUUAGAACGCUGGCCUUGUAAUCCUGGGGUCUCGGGUUCGAUUCCCGGCCGUG
This 68-nucleotide transfer RNA is filed under the name Zootermopsis nevadensis. It matches the Rfam family "tRNA". From Rfam's summary of the family: Transfer RNA (tRNA) molecules are approximately 80 nucleotides in length. Their secondary structure includes four short double-helical elements and three loops (D, anti-codon, and T loops). Lineage: Eukaryota; Metazoa; Arthropoda; Insecta; Blattodea; Termopsidae. The record is from Rfam by way of RNAcentral.